RNAcentral lists this unclassified non-coding RNA (168 nucleotides) under Limulus polyphemus (Atlantic horseshoe crab). RNAcentral's name for it is "glutaredoxin-1-like, transcript variant X1". The record is from RNAcentral. Lineage: Eukaryota; Metazoa; Arthropoda; Merostomata; Xiphosura; Limulidae.
UUAAUGUGUAACUGGUAUGUUUGAAGAUAAAGUGCAGUCAUCAGUGACGUAGAUUAGCUGUCACAUUAUUUCUUCAUCAAUUCUUUGGUUCCAAGAGUAUUCAUUAAUGGAAAGUGUAUUGGUGGUGCUGAUGAAACUGAAGCCUUAAAUAUGUCAGGACAGCUUGAG